UUUGCCACACAUUUUUAUUUUUCCCCCGUUUCUCCCUUUUGUUCUUUUCUUUUUGAUUUAUUUCACUUUUCACCAAAAUCAAUUCCCCCAAAAAACA
This 97-nucleotide non-coding RNA is filed under the name Platyophrya macrostoma. Lineage: Eukaryota; Ciliophora; Colpodea; Cyrtolophosidida; Platyophryidae. The record is from RNAcentral.